CAACCUCAAAAAGACAAUGGA
This 21-nucleotide unclassified non-coding RNA is filed under the name Dictyostelium discoideum. The record is from RNAcentral. Lineage: Eukaryota; Evosea; Eumycetozoa; Dictyosteliales; Dictyosteliaceae.